Long non-coding RNA from Hirundo rustica (Barn swallow), 783 nucleotides. RefSeq lists it as uncharacterized. The transcript has 7 exons. The record is from RefSeq and is a predicted model, not a curated record. Lineage: Eukaryota; Metazoa; Chordata; Aves; Passeriformes; Hirundinidae.
GAGUGCCCUGGAGAGUUUGUAUUUUCCCCUCAAGGUUGGUGAGAACUCGGCUUCCCUCAGCAAAUUUAAAUACUAUGGAAUGAAAGGGGUUAAAACAUUCACCAGAAAUGGGGUUUGUCUGCAGAUAUCUCCAGCUUCUUUAUUUAAAGCCUUUUGGGUGUGGUGGAUGUGGUUACUGCCUGUGGAAAAGGUCCUGAUCCCCUUUAGAGAAUGACAUGGUCACUGAAUCUACUUUUGCUUGAUUCUCAUCAGAGAAGGAAUUUUCAGUUCAUCUCUCUUGCAAACUGGGUGGAGUUGGUGAAGAAAAAAUUAUGGUAAGAUCUAUUUCUAAUUUUGCUGCUGAAAGAACCCUGCUGCUCAUCUCUUGUGUACUCCUAGAUAUCUGCAUCUAGGUACGGUAAUGGGUCAGCCACGUUCCUUAAUGGAAACAGAACAGGCAAAUGGUUUCAGCCAGAAAUAUGCAAGAGACAUCCUUCUUAAAACACACUGUUAAAGAGUGUUGCCUAAAACAUGAAAGCAACUCAGCUGACUCUGGAUUUCGAUGAAUAUGUGGAAUGAAAAGAACCCAGAAGAAAAGAUCCAGUGCUUGGAGGCUAAAGUCUAUGUGAUUCCUUUGGGACAUUGAAGGAGUCCUCAGACUUUUAAGCUCAUACACAGUUGUGUUGAAAAAUUAAGGAGAGGUGUCACCACAGGGAAGUUGCGGCCACCUCAGUGUGGGACAUCAGCCCCUGGCUGCCAAGAGGUCAAAUGGCAUCCUGGGUUGCAAGAAUCACAGCAGCAGCA